This 629-nucleotide small RNA is filed under the name Arabidopsis thaliana (thale cress). RNAcentral describes it as "ATSL036870". The record is from RNAcentral. Lineage: Eukaryota; Viridiplantae; Streptophyta; Magnoliopsida; Brassicales; Brassicaceae.
UUAUUAAAAAUUUUGACGAUAGAAACACUAAGAAAGCUAUUUACUGCGUCUAAGAAAAUAUUUGUUGGUUUUAGCCUCUUUUUGGAUAAAAUGGGUAUAAGUGUUGUCUAAACACUUCUAAUCCAUCUCUAACUCUUAUAAUUAGUCGAAUGCAUUGGAUUGUGAUACCUUUUAACCAUAAAAACACUAACAAAGCUAUUUAGUUCUUCUAAGCAAUAUUUUGUUGGUUAUAGCUUCUUUUGAGAGUAAAUGGGUAUAAGUGUUGUCUAAACACUCCUAACCCAUCGCUAGCUCUUAUAAUUAGUCAAAUGCAUUGGAUUGUGACACAUUUUGACCAUAGAAACACUAACAAAUCUAUUGAGUUGUUCUAAGCAAGUUUUGUUGGUUUUAGCCUCUUUUGGGAGGAAAUGGGUAUAAGUGUUGUCUAAACACUUAUUAUCCAUCUCUAACUCUUAUAUUAGUCAAUUGCAUUGGAUUGUGACACAUGUUGACCAUAGAAACGCUAACAAAUAUAUUGACUGCUUCUAAGCAAGUUUUGUUUGUUUUAGCCUCUUUUGGGAGAAAAUGUGUAUACGUCUUGGCUAAAGACUCCUAAUCUAUCUCUAACUCUAUCAUUAGUCAAAUGCAUU